UGUGGGAGCGGGCUUGCCCGCGAUGACGGAGUUUCAGUCACAUAGACAUUGGCUGAUCCACCGCUAUCGCGGGCAAGCCCGCUCCCACA
This 89-nucleotide non-coding RNA is filed under the name Pseudomonas tolaasii NCPPB 2192. Lineage: Bacteria; Pseudomonadati; Pseudomonadota; Gammaproteobacteria; Pseudomonadales; Pseudomonadaceae. The record is from RNAcentral.